AGUGAACGCUGGCGGCAGGCCUAACACAUGCAAGUCGAGCGGCAGCACAGGAGAGCUUGCUCUCUGGGUGGCGAGCGGCGGACGGGUGAGGAAUACAUCGGAAUCUACCUUCUUGUGGGGGAUAACGUAGGGAAACUUACGCUAAUACCGCAUAAGACCUGAGGGUGAAAGCAGGGGACCGCAAGGCCUUGCGCGAGAAGAUGAGCCGAUGUCGGAUUAGCUUGUUGGUGAGGUAAAGGCUCACCAAGGCGACGAUCCGUAGCUGGUCUGAGAGGAUGAUCAGCCACACUGGAACUGAGACACGGUCCAGACUCCUACGGGAGCUG
RNAcentral lists this ribosomal RNA (326 nucleotides) under uncultured Pseudomonadota bacterium. RNAcentral describes it as "bacterial SSU rRNA". It matches the Rfam family "Bacterial small subunit ribosomal RNA", at positions 29 to 351 of the family's 1533-position model. The record is from RNAcentral. Lineage: Bacteria; Pseudomonadati; Pseudomonadota.